UACGAAGGGGGCUAGCGUUGUUCGGAUUUACUGGGCGUAAAGCGCACGUAGGCGGAUUGUUAAGUCAGGGGUGAAAUCCCGGAGCUCAACUCCGGAACUGCCUUUGAUACUGGCAAUCUAGAGUCCGGAAGAGGUGAGUGGAACUCCUAGUGUAGAGGUGGAAUUCGUAGAUAUUAGGAAGAACACCAGUGGCGAAGGCGGCUCACUGGUCCGGUACUGACGCUGAGGUGCGAAAGCGUGGGGAGCGAACAGGA
This 254-nucleotide ribosomal RNA is filed under the name uncultured bacterium. RNAcentral describes it as "partial 16S ribosomal RNA". It matches the Rfam family "Bacterial small subunit ribosomal RNA", at positions 524 to 777 of the family's 1533-position model. The record is from RNAcentral.